GCGCACCAGUCGAGAAAACUUCACACUGUGCGAAAGCACGAUGAGGGAAUCCCAAGUGCUUGCACGUAAGUGUAAGCUGUCUCUCUGUUUAAAACGCAGAGAGAGUAAGGGCUGGGUAAGACGGGUGCCAGCCGCCGCGGCAAUACCUGCAGCCCAAGUGGUGACCGUUAUUAUUGGGCCUAAAACGUCCGUAGCCGGUUUAAUAAAUGCCUGGGUAAAUCGUGUAGCUUAACUAUACGAAUUCCGGGUAGACUGUUAAACUCGAGACCGGGAGAAGUUAGAGGUACUCCUGGGGUAGAGGUGAAAUUCUGUAAUCCUAGGGGGACCACCAGUGGCGAAGGCGUCUAACUAGAACGGGUCUGACGGUGAGGGACGAAGCCCUGGGGCGCAAACGGGGAUUAGAUACCCCGGUAGU
This 415-nucleotide ribosomal RNA is filed under the name uncultured microorganism. RNAcentral describes it as "bacterial SSU rRNA". It matches the Rfam family "Archaeal small subunit ribosomal RNA", at positions 330 to 745 of the family's 1478-position model. The record is from RNAcentral.